AUUUGUGUGGCUUUAUUAUCUGUUUUCCAUAUUAUUAUGACUGUAUACCACCGUUCCCAAACAGAGGAUGACUGUUUGGGAACCAAGAGUGUGGAAUAGCUGUGUUCACCUGAUACAACUUUCAAAAAAGCUCUCAAGGUCCAUUAAUGGGAGAAUGCAGAGCAGCAAAGCUUCCAAGACUCCACAGACAUCCAAAUGAGGUACUGCAUGUGGCAAUCUGUCUCUU
Molecule: unclassified non-coding RNA, 226 nt
Organism: Cavia porcellus (domestic guinea pig)
Lineage: Eukaryota; Metazoa; Chordata; Mammalia; Rodentia; Caviidae
Gene: 7SK
Rfam family: 7SK RNA
About the family: 7SK was discovered as an abundant small nuclear RNA in the mid-70s but a possible function has only recently been suggested. Two independent studies have found that 7SK RNA binds the CDK9/cyclin T complex (known as elongation factor P-TEFb).
Source: Ensembl